AUGGCGUCGCCAGCGAUGCUGCCGUCGUUACCAGACGACUUGAUCUCCGAAAUACUCUCAUGGGUGCUGGUCAAGUCCGCGUGCAGAUUCUGCUGCGUGUCCAGGGGGUGGCACGCCCUCAUCUCCGGGCCGGCGUUCGUCGCCACGCACAGGUCCCGCACCGACCCGCAGCUUCUCCUCCUCGCCACCAGCUACCACCACAAGGAACACGGCCGCAGAAGCUACGACCUACAAUUGCUGGACGUGGAUGGUGAGGUCGUGCGAGUGAACAAGAGCGUAGGCGCCUUUUGGACCAUCUGCUACGGUCGUGACGACGCCCUAGUCUGUGUCACCUUCGGUUUCUGCAAGCCCCGGGACUUUCUUGUGGCCAAUGUGAUCAAUCCGGCGACCGGAAGUGUGCUCGUGAAAACCACGGAGUUGGAUGAUGGAGCAUCCUACGACGUCUACAUGGGGGACUUCACCGUUGGUUGUGCGGCCCCGUCUGGCGCGUACAAGGUGGUACGCCUCAUGGGCAACGAUCCUCAUCGGCCUUGGAAGGUUCUCACCUUGGGAGAUGGUGCCAAGUGGAGGCAGGUGGGGUUUCCCGCAGCCACGCAGUCUACCAGAUAUGACCGGGGACCUGUGGUCACAAUCGCCGGUGUCAUGCAUUUUCUUUACACAUCGGAAACAUCGUGCGAGGAUUAUAUAUUCCGCCUUGAUCUCGAGAGUGAGAAAUGGGUGGCGACGCUCAAAGGCCCAACAAGUGACGAGUUACAAAUGGAUGUGUUGAUAAAAUAUCUUCUCCGGUUCAAUAAUGACACCCUCUGCUUGGUUCAGUGGGAGAAACGCUUGACCAACAAUGUGUGCUCGAACAUAUGGCUCCUAACUGAUCACGCUAAAGGCACCUGGGUAAAGGCGUACACGGUAUCGACAGAUUCAAUCACCGGUCUGCUAAUACCUUUGAGGAUGAUGCGUGAUAGUCCAAAGAUGCUUUUGUAUGGCUUCAUCGGCGCUACAAGUGUAUGA
This 1005-nucleotide ribosomal RNA is filed under the name Triticum aestivum (bread wheat). RNAcentral describes it as "partial small subunit ribosomal RNA". The record is from RNAcentral. Lineage: Eukaryota; Viridiplantae; Streptophyta; Magnoliopsida; Poales; Poaceae.